AAACGUAGGGGGUGCCUUCCAUCUGGAAGAAUCUGGAGACAGGUGCUGCAUGGCUGUCGUCAGCUCGUGUCGUGAGAUGUUGGGUUAAGUCCCGCAACGAGCGCAACCCUUGCCUUUAGUUGCCAGCAGUUCGGCUGGGCACUCUAAAGGGACUGCCGGUGUUAAACCGGAGGAAGGUGGGGAUGACGUCAAGUCCUCAUGGCCUUUAUGACCAGGGCUACACACGUACUACAAUGGCCGAUACAAAGGGCAGCGACACUGCGAGGUGAAGCCAACUACCCGUAAAACCGAUCGUAGUCCGGAUCGCAGUCUGCAACUCGACUGCGUGAAGUCGGAAUCGCUAGUAAUCGUGAAUCAGAAUGUCACGGUGAAUACGUUCCCGGGCCUU
RNAcentral lists this ribosomal RNA (388 nucleotides) under uncultured Desulfobulbus sp. RNAcentral describes it as "bacterial SSU rRNA". It matches the Rfam family "Bacterial small subunit ribosomal RNA", at positions 994 to 1382 of the family's 1533-position model. Lineage: Bacteria; Pseudomonadati; Thermodesulfobacteriota; Desulfobulbia; Desulfobulbales; Desulfobulbaceae. The record is from RNAcentral.